Molecule: unclassified non-coding RNA, 293 nt
Filed under: Hevea brasiliensis (rubber tree)
Lineage: Eukaryota; Viridiplantae; Streptophyta; Magnoliopsida; Malpighiales; Euphorbiaceae
Source: RNAcentral
CUCACCCUCAUCGUAGUCUCCUUCCAGUAUUGGGUCUACAAUCUCUUCAAUCCAUGACUCUCCUCCAUUUUUCUUAUUCUGCCUCACCCAUGUCACCAAUCCUCUCUCCAGCUCUUUCCCCUCUCCACUAUUGCUGGUUCCUCCCAUUGCUGGACUCUUCCCAGUCACCAUCUCCAGCAUCACAAUCCCAUAGCUGUAAACAUCCACUUUUGAUGUGAUGGGUAGAUUGAAAACCCACUCUGGAGCCAUGUACCCUCUAGUUCCUCUUAUUCUUGAGAAUCUCGAGUACUUCA